Molecule: ribosomal RNA, 301 nt
Filed under: uncultured bacterium
Lineage: Bacteria
Description: partial 16S ribosomal RNA
Rfam family: Bacterial small subunit ribosomal RNA
Source: RNAcentral
CAGCAGCCACGGGAAUACGGAGGGCGCGAGCGUUACCCGGAUUUACUGGGCGUAAAGGGCGUGUAGGCGGCCUGGGGCGUCCCAUGUGAAAGGCCACGGCUCAACCGUGGAGGAGCGUGGGAUACGCUCAGGCUAGAGGGUGGGAGAGGGUGGUGGAAUUCCCGGAGUAGCGGUGAAAUGCGCAGAUACCGGGAGGAACGCCGAUGGCGAAGGCAGCCACCUGGUCCACUUCUGACGCUGAGGCGCGAAAGCGUGGGGAGCAAACCGGAUUAGAUACCCGAGUAGUCCCUGUCUCUUAUAC